AGGCAAUUUACUAUCCAGCAAUGUUCAAUAAGCUAAAAGGAAUCAAACUGCUACUAGCCACCAUCAGCACAAAAAGCAAAAUCGCUAGCUCAUAUAUGAAAAGAGAAAGAUGCAGAAAACAAGAAGACAAACUUACUUCAAGAUCUCAAGAUUACAAUUUUCGCUAAAAGAUUACAAAUUUUAACAUUUUAAAAAGGAUAAAAUCAAUAUCACCCACCAGCAAAAUUCUACAAAUUUACGUUUACAUCAGCAAAACUACACCUUCGGUAGUGAGCUUUCAUGCUCGACUCCCACAUAAAUUAAAGCUUAAAUUUUUCUCAUUUUCAGCAAUCAAGAACCAAUCAAAGCAAUCAAAAUUACAAUUUCACAUCACCAUUAUCUCAUGAAAACUACAAAUUCA
Molecule: unclassified non-coding RNA, 400 nt
Filed under: Hevea brasiliensis (rubber tree)
Lineage: Eukaryota; Viridiplantae; Streptophyta; Magnoliopsida; Malpighiales; Euphorbiaceae
Source: RNAcentral